GUCCAAACACAAUAAGUUUUGUAAUCAAUAAGAAAGCUUGUUAUGGCUCAAUGCAUAAGUUUCUUGCCUCUAUUAAUGGAAAUAUGAAAGGACUUUAUUCUGGUGCUGUAAGCUGAAGAAAAAGGAGUGGGGAAAAAAAUCAAACACCUUGUGUGCAAUGCAGGAUUCAGUGGAUUUUGGUUCUGUAGAUUUCAAGACAAUGUUAGUAUAUCAACUGCAAAUGCAAAUGCAGAUAGUUGGUUUUAUUUCCAGCUACUGUAUGGGUUCAAAAUUUCAACUUUUUCUGCUUGAGAUGGAUUUCUCCAAGUGUUGUUACAUCUGUUCUUGAUUCACGGCGGCUGACGGUGAUGGUUGGCGGCGGAGGGUGGUGGUUUGUGGUGGUGAUAUUGGCGGGGACGGCUCAAUCUUUCUCUUAAUGGUACCUUUUUGUAUAUCAUUUUGAUCUUGAUUUUAACUUUAAUUUUCUACAUUGCCUUUUGGUUUUUAUUGUUAUUGUAGAAAAUUUGGGAUUAAUUAUAUUUAUCUUUGGCCUCUUUUUAAGAAGAAAAAAAAAUACAAUUAAAUUUAAUGAUGCAGCAUCAGCAAUAUAUUACUACUUGAUGCAGUUGCUCAAA
Long non-coding RNA from Nicotiana tabacum (common tobacco), 614 nucleotides. RefSeq lists it as uncharacterized. NCBI's taxonomy places the organism in Eukaryota, Viridiplantae, Streptophyta, Magnoliopsida, Solanales, Solanaceae. The record is from RefSeq and is a predicted model, not a curated record.